Molecule: ribosomal RNA, 393 nt
Filed under: uncultured bacterium
Lineage: Bacteria
Description: partial 16S ribosomal RNA
Rfam family: Bacterial small subunit ribosomal RNA
Source: RNAcentral
AUACGGAGGAUGCGAGCGUUAUCCGGAUUUAUUGGGUUUAAAGGGUGCGUAGGCUGUGCGUUAAGUCAGGGGUGAAAUGCCGUCGCUCAACGACGGAGCUGCCCUUGAUACUGGCGUGCUGGAGUACGGAUGCCGUUGGAGGAAUGAGUGGUGUAGCGGUGAAAUGCUUAGAUAUCACUCAGAACACCGAUUGCGAAGGCAUCUGACGAAUCCGUCACUGACGCUGAGGCACGAAAGCGUGGGGAUAGAACAGGAUUAGAUACCCGGGUAUUCCACGCCGUAAACGAUGAUGACUAACCGUCGGCGAUAGACAGCCGGUGGCCAAGCGAAAGCGAUAAGUCAUCCACCUGGGGAGUACGGCGGCAACGAUGAAACUCAAAUGAAUUGACGGGG